Acanthosepion pharaonis is the source of this 113-nucleotide non-coding RNA. The record is from the annotation of a GenBank genome assembly. Lineage: Eukaryota; Metazoa; Mollusca; Cephalopoda; Sepiida; Sepiidae.
UUACGGUCAUGUCACGCAGAAAUACCGGUUCUUGCCUGAUCACCGAAGUUAAGCAAUGUUGAGCCUGGUGAGUACUCAGAUGGGUGACUGCCGGGGAAUACAAGGUGCUGUGA